GACGAACGCUGGCGGCGUGCUUAACACAUGCAAGUCGAACGGAAAGGCCCUGCCUUUGUGGGGUGCUCGAGUGGCGAACGGGUGAGUAACACGUGAGUAACCUGCCCUUGACUUUGGGAUAACUUCAGGAAACUGGGGCUACUACCGGAUAGGAGCUCCUGCUGCAUGGUGGGGGUUGGAAAGUUUCGGCGGUUGGGGAUGGACUGGCGGCUUAUCAGCUUGUUGGUGGGGUAGUGGCUUACCCAGGCUUUGACGGGUAGCCGGCCUGAGAGGGUGACCGGCCACAUGGGGACUGAGAUACGGCCCAGACUGCUACGGGAGGCAGCAGUGGGGAAUAUUGCACAAUGGGCGGAAGCCUGAUGCAGAAACGCCGCGUGCGGGAUGACGGCCUUUGGGGUGUAAACCGCUUUCGCCUGUGACGAAGCGGGAGUGACGGUAAUGGGUAAAGAAGCACCGGCUAACUACGUG
RNAcentral lists this ribosomal RNA (468 nucleotides) under uncultured bacterium. RNAcentral describes it as "partial 16S ribosomal RNA". It matches the Rfam family "Bacterial small subunit ribosomal RNA", at positions 28 to 507 of the family's 1533-position model. The record is from RNAcentral.